Molecule: small RNA, 564 nt
Filed under: Pongo abelii (Sumatran orangutan)
Lineage: Eukaryota; Metazoa; Chordata; Mammalia; Primates; Hominidae
Description: retained intron
Source: RNAcentral
AAGGAAUUUCUACCUGAAGGCCAGGACAUUGGUGCAUUCGUCGCUGAACAGAAGGUGGAGUAUACCCUGGGAGAGGAGUCGGAAGCCCCUGGCCAGAGGGCACUCCCCUCCGAGGAGCUGAACAGGCAGCUGGAGAAGCUGCUGAAGGAGGGCAGCAGUAACCAGUGGGUGUUCGACUGGAUAGAGGCCAACCUGAGUGAGCAGCAGAUAGUAUCCAACACGUUAGUUCGAGCCCUCAUGACGGCUGUCUGCUAUUCUGCAAUUAUUUGUAAGAGGAACCAGGGAGAUGGAGGGGCAAGGGUGGGCCUGACAGACAAGUGGAGGGAGGUGGGUAUCAGCCUUGGCCUCCCAGUUCUGAACUGGGGUAAGGGUAUAUUGCUCCACUCAUCCCUGUCUUCUUGUAGUUGAGACUCCCCUCCGAGUGGACGUUGCAGUGCUGAAAGCGCGAGCGAAGCUGCUGCAGAAAUACUUGUGUGACGAGCAGAAGGAGCUACAGGCGCUCUACGCCCUCCAGGCCCUUGUAGUGACCUUAGAACAGCCUCCCAGUAAGAGCCAGGCCACGGG